AACGCGAAGAACCUUACCUGGGCUCGAACGGCUUCGGACAAACUGUGGAAACACGGUCUUCCCGCAAGGGACUGGAGUCGAGGUGCUGCAUGGCUGUCGUCAGCUCGUGUCGUGAGAUGUUGGGUUAAGUCCCGCAACGAGCGCAACCCUCGUCCUGUGUUGGCAUGCCGCAAGGCGCAACUCUCAGGAGACCGCCAGCGAUAAGCUGGAGGAAGGUGGGGAUGACGUCAAGUCAUCAUGGCCUUUAUGUCCAGGGCCACACACGUGCUACAAUGGGCGGUACAAAGCGCUGCCAACCCGCGAGGGGGAGCUAAUCGCCAAAAACCGUCCUCAGUUCGGAUUGCAGGCUGCAACUCGCCUGCAUGAAGCUGGAAUCGCUAGUAAUGCUAUAUCAGAACGAUAGCGUGAAUACGUUCCCGGGCCUUGUA
This 428-nucleotide ribosomal RNA is filed under the name uncultured Acidobacterium sp. RNAcentral's name for it is "bacterial SSU rRNA". It matches the Rfam family "Bacterial small subunit ribosomal RNA", at positions 958 to 1385 of the family's 1533-position model. Lineage: Bacteria; Pseudomonadati; Acidobacteriota; Terriglobia; Terriglobales; Acidobacteriaceae. The record is from RNAcentral.